CUACUAUCCCAAGAUAACACUAACAAAGUUGACCUUAGAAUUGGAGUGCCUGGGUUAGAACCCUGCUGGUACCACCUGCUUACUGCAUGCUUCUGAUGUGAGUUCAGGAGAAGACACUGGCAAGGACAGCAAAGAACAGGAGAACACUCUAGCUUCCCUGAUAGCAUUCAAGGUGCUGUCCAAAGCUCUUGAGUUUCUGCUUUCAAGUGACCCUCAGAAAUUCCCCCAUUCACUGCAGAGGUUCUGUUUCUCCUUGCUUUGUUCUGACUUUACGGCAGAACUAAGCUGAUGAGUUAGUUACUAUGGGUUAUCACUUGGAUUUGAAGAACCAUCAUUUCUAGGCAUUGCUGCUCAGAGUGGGUCUGCCCUCAGGGGAAGCUGUCUAACCAGAGCCUAACCCACUAGGGUUUUAUCAGAACCUAACUGACCUGAGGAAAAGAAAUAUUCAACUCCAGCAAGCUCCAGCCUUCCAAAUGGAGGAGAAGAAAACCCAACUCCAGCCCACUUCAGCUAUCUUGUCCCACAUAAAGGGGAAGUGGAAGAAACCUGAGAAGCAGGCAUGAAGUUCACAGUCCAGAGAUGACAUGAUUUUCUAUGCAAAAAAUUCAAAAUAAUCAGCAACAAAAAAAAUCCUGAAACUAGUAAAUGAUUAUAGCAAGAUUUCAGGAUAUGAGAUUUAUAUACAAAGGUCAAUUACUUUCAUAUAUACAAGCAAUGAACAAGAGGGAUUUGAAAUUAAAAACGAAACUAUUUACAUUAGUACCCCCAAAA
Molecule: long non-coding RNA, 771 nt
Filed under: Pan troglodytes (chimpanzee)
Lineage: Eukaryota; Metazoa; Chordata; Mammalia; Primates; Hominidae
Description: lincRNA
Source: RNAcentral